CUACCAUGCAGUCGACGAUGAAGCCCUUCGGGGUGGAUUAGUGGCGAACGGGUGAGUAACACGUGGGCAAUCUGCCCUUCACUCUGGGACAAGCCCUGGAAACGGGGUCUAAUACCGGAUAACACUCUGUCCCUCAUGGGGCGGGGUUAAAAGCUCCGGCGGUGAAGGAUGAGCCCGCGGCCUAUCAGCUUGUUGGUGGGGUAAUGGCCUACCAAGGCGACGACGGGUAGCCGGCCUGAGAGGGCGACCGGCCACACUGGGACUGAGACACGGCCCAGACUCCUACGGGAGGCAGCAGUGGGGAAUAUUGCACAAUGGGCGAAAGCCUGAUGCAGCGACGCCGCGUGAGGGAUGACGGCCUUCGGGUUGUAAACCUCUUUCAGCAGGGAAGAAGCGAAAGUGACGGUACCUGCAGAAGAAGCGCCGGCUAACUACGUGCCAGCAGCCGCGGUAAUACGUAGGGCGCAAGCGUUGUCCGGAAUUAUUGGGCGUAAAGAGCUCGUAGGCGGCUUGUCACGUCGGAUGUGAAAGCUCGGGGCUUAACCCCGAGUCUGCAUUCGAUACGGGCUAGCUAGAGUGUGGUAGGGGAGAUCGGAAUUCCUGGUGUAGCGGUGAAAUGCGCAGAUAUCAGGAGGAACACCGGUGGCGAAGGCGGAUCUCUGGGCCAUUACUGACGCUGAGGAGCGAAAGCGUGGGGAGCGAACAGGAUUAGAUACCCUGGUAGUCCACGCCGUAAACGUUGGGAACUAGGUGUUGGCGACAUUCCACGUCGUCGGUGCCGCAGCUAACGCAUUAAGUUCCCCGCCUGGGGAGUACGGCCGCAAGGCUAAAACUCAAAGGAAUUGACGGGGGGCCCGCACAAGCAGCGGAGCAUGUGGCUUAAUUUCGACGCAACGCGAAGAACCUUUACCAAAGGGCUUUGACAUAUACCGGAAAGCAUCAGAGAUGGUGCCCCCCUUGUGGUCGGUAUACAGGUGGUGCAUGGCUGUCGUCAGCUCGUGUCGUGAGAUGUUGGGUUAAGUCCCGCAACGAGCGCAACCCUUGUUCUGUGUUGCCAGCAUGCCCUUCGGGGUGAUGGGGACUCACAGGAGACUGCCGGGGUCAACUCGGAGGAAGGUGGGGACGACGUCAAGUCAUCAUGCCCCUUAUGUCUUGGGCUGCACACGUGCUACAAUGGCCGGUACAAUGAGCUGCGAUGCCGCGAGGCGGAGCGAAUCUCAAAAAGCCGGUCUCAGUUCGGAUUGGGGUCUGCAACUCGACCCCAUGAAGUCGGAGUUGCUAGUAAUCGCAGAUCAGCAUUGCUGCGGUGAAUACGUUCCCGGGCCUUGUACACACCGCCCGUCACGUCACGAAAGUCGGUAACACCCGAAGCCGGUGGCCCAACCCCUUGUGGGAGGGAGCUGUCGAAGGUGGGACUGGCGAUUGGACGAAGUCGUAACAAGU
RNAcentral lists this ribosomal RNA (1443 nucleotides) under Streptomyces atroolivaceus. RNAcentral's name for it is "bacterial SSU rRNA". It matches the Rfam family "Bacterial small subunit ribosomal RNA". The record is from RNAcentral. Lineage: Bacteria; Bacillati; Actinomycetota; Actinomycetes; Kitasatosporales; Streptomycetaceae.